AGUGAGUUUGAUUUUUGCUCAGCUUUUACUAUUUAAUUGAUAUAUACGUAAAAUAAGUUAUAAGAAGAAAUAAUAUAAAAUUUAGCUUUUAGGUUCAGUAUAAGAAAUUAAUCAAUGAAUUAUUGUUUGAAUUAGUAAUUAGAUAAGUCCAGGCUAAAUUUGUGCCAGCAGCCGCGGUUAGACUAAUAGGGCAAGUAAAAGUUUAUAAGUUAAAUAAUUAAAAGAGUUUAAGAUAAAGGAGCAGUUUAUAAAAAUAAAAGGUGAAAUUUAGUGUUUUUAGGUAAAUGGUUUUAGUUUAAAAUAUUUUGAAAUUAUGAAAGUUUAGGUUUAAAUUAGGAUUAGAUACCCUAUUAUACUUUACUGAAAAUUAGAUAUGCUUGAGUAGUAAUCGGUUAUGAUCUUGAAACUUAAAGGAUUUGGCGGUAUUUUAGUCUAGUUAGGGGAACCUGUUUUAUAAACGAUAAACCACGAAGUAUCUUACCUUUCUUGGUUAUGUCAGUAUGUAUACCGUCAUUAUUAGAUGGUCUUUAUAAAGAGCCAUUAAAAUAGUUCUAUGUUAAAAUAUUAGAUCAAGGUGCAGCGGAUGGAGAGGAAAAUAAUGGGUUACAAUGUUGUUAAAAUAUACGGAUAUAUAAUUGAAUGUUGUAUAUGAAGGUGGACUUAAGUGUAAUUAUAUUUUAAUAAGGUAUAAUGAUAUUAGCUCUAUAAUAUGUACACAUCGCCCGUCGCUCUCAUUUUAAUGUGAGAUAAGUCGUAACAUAGUAAAUGUAUUGGAAAAUGCAUUUAGAAUUUA
This 793-nucleotide non-coding RNA is filed under the name Oplophorus typus. RNAcentral describes it as "12S ribosomal RNA". The stretch from base 380 to 786 matches the Rfam family "Microsporidia small subunit ribosomal RNA", at positions 752 to 1303 of the family's 1311-position model. Lineage: Eukaryota; Metazoa; Arthropoda; Malacostraca; Decapoda; Oplophoridae. The record is from RNAcentral.